GCUGUACCGGUUCGAUUGGGAUACUCAUCAAUAAUUACUUGAAAACCGAGAAAGCUUAUCUUAGCAAUGGCGUGCCGGCAUGGGCCUCGCGGCGCAGAGUCGGAUUACAGAACUAGGAAGGGCGCUCAAAUCUUAUUUAGCUCGGAGUUUCAUCACAUCAUCGGUGCAGUCUUUUU
RNAcentral lists this small RNA (176 nucleotides) under uncultured Prevotellamassilia sp. RNAcentral describes it as "Bacteroidales-1 6S-Bacteroidales RNA suggested". It matches the Rfam family "Bacteroidales-1 6S-Bacteroidales RNA suggested". Lineage: Bacteria; Pseudomonadati; Bacteroidota; Bacteroidia; Bacteroidales; Prevotellaceae. The record is from RNAcentral.